Molecule: ribosomal RNA, 438 nt
Filed under: uncultured bacterium
Lineage: Bacteria
Description: partial 16S ribosomal RNA
Rfam family: Bacterial small subunit ribosomal RNA
Source: RNAcentral
GGAUGAACGCUGGCGGCAUGCUUAACCCAUGCAAGUCGAACGGGAAGUGGUGUUUCCAGUGGCGAACGGGUGAGUAACGCGUAAGAACCUGCCCUUGGGAGGGGAACAACAACUGGAAACGGUUGCUAAUACCCCGUAGGCUGAGGAGCAAAAGGAGAAAUCCGCCCAAGGAGGGGCUCGCGUCUGAUUAGCUAGUUGGUGAGGUAAUAGCUUACCAAGGCGAUGAUCAGUAGCUGGUCCGAGAGGAUGAUCAGCCACACUGGGACUGAGACACGGCCCAGACUCCUACGGGAGGCAGCAGUGGGGAAUUUUCCGCAAUGGGCGAAAGCCUGACGGAGCAAUGCCGCGUGGAGGUGGAAGGCCUACGGGUCGUCAACUUCUUUUCUCGGAGAAGAAACAAUGACGGUAUCUGAGGAAUAAGCAUCGGCUAACUCUGUG